CCUACGGGUGGCAGCAGUGAGGAAUAUUGGUCAAUGGACGAGAGUCUGAACCAGCCAAGUAGCGUGAAGGAUGACUGCCCUAUGGGUUGUAAACUUCUUUUAUAUGGGAAUAAAAUGUUCCACGUGUGGGAUUUUGUAUGUACCAUAUGAAUAAGGAUCGGCUAACUCCGUGCCAGCAGCCGCGGUCAUACGGAGGAUCCGAGCGUUAUCCGGAUUUAUUGGGUUUAAAGGGAGCGUAGGUGGAUUGUUAAGUCAGUUGUGAAAGUUUGCGGCUCAACCGUAAAAUUGCAGUUGAAACUGGCAGUCUUGAGUACAGUAGAGGUGGGCGGAAUUCGUGGUGUAGCGGUGAAAUGCUUAGAUAUCACGAAGAACUCCGAUUGCGAAGGCAGUUCACUGGACUGCAACUGACACUGAGGCUCGAAAGUGUGGGUAUCAAACAGGAUUAGAUACCCGAGUAGUC
RNAcentral lists this ribosomal RNA (460 nucleotides) under uncultured bacterium. RNAcentral's name for it is "partial 16S ribosomal RNA". It matches the Rfam family "Bacterial small subunit ribosomal RNA", at positions 338 to 795 of the family's 1533-position model. The record is from RNAcentral.